RNAcentral lists this long non-coding RNA (1283 nucleotides) under Junco hyemalis (dark-eyed junco). RNAcentral's name for it is "lncRNA (ENSJHYG00000011429.1)". Lineage: Eukaryota; Metazoa; Chordata; Aves; Passeriformes; Passerellidae. The record is from RNAcentral.
GCCGCCCCCGGCGCCGCCCGCCCUGCCGGGGAUGCUGGCGGCGCCCAAGCCGGGCGCCCCGGGGCUGCUGAGCCCCACGCAGAGCGCGGCGGGCGGCGGCUUCGCUCUGGAGGCGCAGCGGCAGAGAAGGCGUUUUAUCUCCCAGCGCUGCUCUCUAGACUUUUUAGAAGACAUAGUGGAGUAUGCCAGUGUCCGAAGGUACUUGUUUUCAAAAGCAGCAUUAACCUCAGCUCGUUGCAUGCCCUCCUCUCCUCCCUCCACCCUCUUCCACGCCAAUAUCUGAGGUCCUGCAUGCUGGUGCUGCCAUCUGAUCAUACAACUGGCAUGAAUUUUUCUCAGGACACUUAACAGAUUUGGCUUUUUUUUUGUUUGUUUUUCUUUUUUUAUCGUUGCAGAACCAAGCAUAUAUCUGGGUCUCCAAGACACAAAAGUUUGAAGAAGAUGCACUUCAUCAAGAACAUGAGGCAGUAUGACACCAAGAACAGCAGGUAACAUGGGGAGAUCGAGGUUCCCCCUCUACUUGUGUGCAGUAGGAGGCACCUCCAGUUCCAUGCAGUGAGACAUUGAACAUCAGUGAGAAUUAGGGGAUGCCCCUGGGGCCUUGUUAGCUUUAUCCAGAGUUCUGUCAAAGGUGGUAGGUGCUCAUUUCUGCUACAUUUGCACUGAUGGUUCUGCCAUCCUACUCUGAGGAGGUUAAAUCAUUCUCUCUUUUCUUCUCUCACUUUUCCUCUUUCUCUCACUUUCCUUAUCUCUGGCAUAGAGAGGUCAGAGCUGAGAAUGGAGAAACAAUGGAGAAGCCAUUAAGGAGAAUGGCUUGAUUUAGGCAAAUUCCUGGCUCUUGGUUGCUGAGCAGAAGAGAAAGGGAGGCUGCAUUUAUGUUUAUUAUUAAUAGAAGUGUGAGGUUUCAUCUAAAUGUAAAAUAUUAUCUACUUUUUUCACAAGGUUUAUGUAAAAAUUACAUAGAUAUAUAUUUAAGGACUGGGAUCUCCUUUGAGUUGCUCCCAAGGUGUUGGCAGGUCCUAAACACUGAGAUUUGAUAGAGAGCCCCAAGGACCUGCAGGGUCAAUGUUAAACCUCUGCUCUUCUGCUGCUUUCUGAAAAUGUUAAAUCCAUGGCAGUAUCUAUGACUUGCAAAAGCAAGAUAAGAAGAGCCUUGUGUUAAUACCCCAUAAAAAGCUGCUUUGUAACUUCUGGAUCUUAAUUGAUACCCUGAUCUUUCCCCAUCUGCUUACAGGAUAGUGCUGAUCUGUGCCAAACGAACCCUGUGUGUGGCGUUUUCCAUC